CUUCCUGAUUCAGCGGCGGACGGGUGAGUAAUGCCUAAGAAUCUGCCUGGUAGUGGGGGACAACGUUUCGAAAGGAACGCUAAUACCGCAUACGUCCUACGGGAGACAGGAGGGGACCUUCGGGCCUUGCGCUGUCAGAUGAGCCUAGGUCGGAUUAGCUAGUUGGUGAGGUAAUGGCUCACCAAGGCGACGAUCCGUAACUGGUCUGAGAGGAUGAUCAGUCACACUGGAACUGAGACACGGUCCAGACUCCUACGGGAGGCAGCAGUGGGGAAUAUUGGACAUGGGCGAAAGCCUGAUCCAGCCAUGCCGCGUGUGUGAAGAAGGUCUUCGGAUUGUAAGCACUUUAAGUUGGGAGGAAGGGCAGUAAGCGAAUACCUUGCUGUUUUGACGUUACCGACAGAAUAAGCCCCGGCUAACUCUGUGCCAGCAGCCGCGGUAAUACAGAGGGUGCAAGCGUUAAUCGGAAUUACUGGGCGUAAAGCGCGCGUAGGUGGUUUGUUAAGUUGAAUGUGAAAUCCCCGGGCUCGACCUGGGAACUGCAUCCAAAACUGGCGAGCUAUAGUAAGGCAGAGGGUGGUGGAAUUUCCUGUGUAUCGGUGAAAUGCGUAGAUAUAGGAAGGAACACCUUGGCGAAGGCCACCACCUGGGCUCAUACUGACACUGGGUGCAAAGCGUGGGGAGCCACAGGAUUAUAUACCCUGGUAGUCCACGCCGUAUACGAUGUCACUAGCCGUUGGAGUUUGAACUCUUAGUGGCGCAGCUACGCAUUAGUUGACCGCCUGGGAGUACGCCGCAGG
This 800-nucleotide ribosomal RNA is filed under the name bacterium. RNAcentral's name for it is "bacterial SSU rRNA". It matches the Rfam family "Bacterial small subunit ribosomal RNA", at positions 83 to 892 of the family's 1533-position model. The record is from RNAcentral.